Molecule: ribosomal RNA, 253 nt
Filed under: uncultured bacterium
Lineage: Bacteria
Description: partial 16S ribosomal RNA
Rfam family: Bacterial small subunit ribosomal RNA
Source: RNAcentral
UACGUAGGGGGCAAGCGUUGUCCGGAUUUAUUGGGCGUAAGGAGCGUGUAGGCGGCCAUACAGGUCCGUUGUGAAAACUGGAGGCUUAACCUCCAGACGUCGAUGGAAACCGUAUGGCUAGAGUCCGGAAGAGGAGAGUGGAAUUCCUGGUGUAGCGGUGAAAUGCGCAGAUAUCAGGAAGAACACCCGUGGCGAAGGCGGCUCUCUGGGACGGUACUGACGCCGAGACGCGAAAGCGUGGGGAGCGAACAGG